UACACAGCCCCGUGUCAGACUUUGUUGC
This 28-nucleotide non-coding RNA is filed under the name Mus musculus (house mouse). The record is from RNAcentral. Lineage: Eukaryota; Metazoa; Chordata; Mammalia; Rodentia; Muridae.